Molecule: long non-coding RNA, 3901 nt
Filed under: Brassica rapa (field mustard)
Lineage: Eukaryota; Viridiplantae; Streptophyta; Magnoliopsida; Brassicales; Brassicaceae
Description: long non-coding RNA (BRAP_LNC007074)
Source: RNAcentral
CGGGUUCAGGUGAUGCUGUCAGGCAUGAAUCUUCAUACGACAUGUAGAAUUGUCGGCUGUAAAAUCAUUUGUAAUAUUUCUCAUAGUUGUAAUAGCAUAAUUAUCCAGCGUUAAAAAAACAUUAAUGACAAACCCGGAAAAAAAUAUCCAUGAUAAAAUAUUGACUUUUAUUAGUUACAAACUAUAAAGUAUCUAAUUCUAUUUACCAAAAGUCUACUAUCAGAAUAUGUAUUGUUAAUGAGUGAAUUUAAAAACAUGCAUUAGCAUUUAGCUAGGGCUUAUAAUAGAAUUCGAAGAAAAUAUCUUAUAUCAUCAAAAUGACAAAUAAAGGUCUUUAAAAUUUGGUGAUCAAAACGGAUGAGCCGCAGCAAUCGAAGAUAGAAUCGCCAACCACCAAGCAAUGCUUGAAAUUGAGAUUCCUUGCCGACUGAUUAAUCGAUGGAUUGCCAAUAAAAAUGGACUUUGUUCGGACUUAUUUUGCGACGAAAGAAAUAAGUAAAACAUAUAAACAUUGGUAGAGUUACAGAUCUAUAGAUAAAUGAUGGACACUAUGUAUUUGCAUACCAUUACCAAACCCCGAAGAAAAAAUAUCCAUGGUAAAUAUAGACUUUAUUUGGUUACAAAUUAUAGUAUCCGUUUUUAUUUUACUGUCAAACCUUAUAUCAGAAACCCAAUCGGCAUUUGUCUCAGGAAGUUUAAUUUCGGAUAAUAUUCUUAUUGCUCAGGAGAUGUUUCAUGGACUGCGAACAAAUAAUGCAUGUAAAAAAAAAUUUAUGGCAAUCAAAACAUAUAUGAGUAAAGCUUAUGAUAGGGUAGAAUGGUCCUUUAUGGAGCGGUUAUUAUUGAAAAUGGGUUUCUGUUCUGUCUGGGUAGCCAGGGUGAUGACAUGCAUUUCUUCGGUUUCUUAUAACGUCUUACUUAACGGACAACCUAAGGGAAGUAUUAUUCCAGAAAGGGGUUUGAGACAAGGGGAUCCCCUAUCUCCGUAUUUAUUCAUUUUAUGUACAUAAGCUCUUAUUGCAAAUAUUAGGAAAGAGGUGAGAGACAAAAGGUUAACAGGACUUAAGAUAUCGCGAGGAGGACCUGCGGUCUCACAUUUUCUCUUUGCGGAUGAUAGUUUGUUUUUUUGUAAGGCGAAUGUGAUUGAAUGUGAUGUUAUCCUCAAGCUCCUCAAAGACUAUGAAGCUAUGUCGGGCCAACUGAUAAAUUUUGAUAAAUCAUCUUUGCAAUUUGGUCAUAAGGUACCAGAGUCACAAAGGGUGGAAAUUCAAAAUAAACUUGACAUAACUAAAUUAGGUGGUAUGGGAAAUUAUUUGGGAAUACCAGAAAGUUUGGGUGGAUCUAAAAUACAAAUUUUUGGUUUUUUGAAUGAAAGAGUAAAUAAUAAGGUGAACAGUUGGACGGUCCGGUUCCUAACUAAGGGCGGGAAAGAGGUGAUGAUAAAUUCAGUGGUUUCGACAAUGCCAAAUCAUACUAUGUCUUGUUAUAGAUUAUCAAAGACAGUUAUAAAGAAAAUUACAUGGGCUAUUUCUCACUUCUGGUGGGGUAGUGGUAACAAUAAGAGAGGUAUACAUUGGUUUUCAUGGGAUAAAGUAUGUAAAUCUAAGGAGGAGGGAGGUCUUAGCUUUCCUGAUCUUCAAGAUUUUAAUACGGCCUUAUUGGCUAAGCAAUUAUGGCGGUUGAUAGAUAAACCAGAUUGUUUGUUUUCAAAGGUAUUUAAAGGCCGAUAUUUUUGGAAUACUGAUCCAUUGGAUCCUCACAGAUCUUAUUCACCUUCCUAUGGUUGGAGAAGUAUCUGGUCAGCUAGAUCUCUGGUUAAUAAAUGGCUAAUCAAAAGAGUAGGAUCAGGACAGACCAUCUCCGUAUGGAAUGAUCCGUGGAUUCCUGCUCCUCGCCCGAGGUCAGCUAAACCAAAAACGCUACCCCAAUUUUUAAAUCCUUCUUUAAAGGUGGAUUAUCUCAUCGAUCCAUUGACUAAGUCUUGGAAUGUGGAUUUGCUCAAUGCAUACAUACAUCCGGAUGAUGUUAAGAUUAUUAGAGGCAUGGCUAUAAGCCGGAAUGAUAGGAAGGAUUCUUUUGGGUGGUCUUUCACACAGUCAGGAAAAUAUUAUGUUAAGUCUGGAUAUAGGGUUGAAACAUUAUUUCCAGAUACAGCACAUGAUUUAGUUCCUUAUGGUCCGAAUAUCAAACCACUUUUGGCUUUUUGCUGGAAACUUAAAUGUCCCCCGAAAUUGAAACAUUUUGUUUGGCAAGUUCUCUCAUGUACUAUAUCGGUUUCAAAAAACUUAAGGUCACGGGGGAUUAAUUGUGAUACCCGAUGUAGUAUUUGUGGCGCAGAGGAAGAGUCAGUUAAUCAUGCUUUAUUUGAUUGUCCUCCAGCUCUGCAAACUUGGGCUUUAUCAAAAAUCCCCUCAGCCCCUAGUGUUUUUCCAACGAAUUCGGUAUUUACCAAUAUGGAUUAUCUCUUCUGGAGAUUGCCAAAAGAGCAUGAUUUUAGUAACUUUCCAUGGAUUAUGUGGUACAUUUGGAAAAAUAGAAAUAAUAAAGUUUUCAAUAAUAGGGAUGAAAAUCCUCAGGAAAUACUUAGAUAUGCAGAAGUGGAGAGCGAGGUAUGGGCGGAAGCUCAGACUACAAUUCCAAAAAAAACAAGUUUUGGGCCCACAAAACUUUGAAUGACAAGCAUCAGGACAGUCAAGAAUUUGUUUUGUAGAUGGUGCGUGGAAAGAGAAUGACAAAUUCACGGGGCAGGGAUGGUUCUGCAGAGUAGUAGGAUCAGAAGAGAAGAUGAUGGGGGCGAUGAAUCUCCGAAGAAGCUUAUCAGCUCUACAUGCCGAAUGUGAAGCUUUGAUAUGGCUAUGGAGUGCAUGAAGACCCUUGAUUUUUUAGACGUAGUUUUUGCAAUAGACUGUUCUCAAUUGGUGAAGAUGAUGUCCUCACCAGACGAAUGGCCACCUUUUGCUACACACAUGGAGGAGUUUCGACGCAGUAAGUGUUUCUUUCCUUCCUUCAAGAUUCGACAUAUACCAAGAGCAACUAAUCUAGUGGCGGACAAGCUUGCACGAGGUGCUCGGAGUUCCCCUUCAGCUGUGUUUUAUGUUGAUUCUACUCCACCGGUUUGGUUUUCCGAACCGGUAGGUUUCUUAUCAUAGUUUAGUUAUUGUUGUCAAAAAAAAAAAAAAUCCGCUAACUAAAUUAAUGGUUAACGAGUGAAUGAAAAAACUCUACACCAUGACAUACAUGUGUUAGCAUUUAGCUAGGGUUUGACAAAAUUCGAAGAAAAAUAUCUUAGAUAGUCAAAAAUGUCAAAUAAUCAAGGCUUUUAAGUUAUAGUGAUCGAUCAAAGCGGAUGAGUCAUAGCAAUCGAAGAUAGAGUUGCCAACCACCCAGCAAUCACUACAAGAAAUAGUUCAUUUUCUGACUUCAUUUUGGUUAAAAAAUGGACAAAAACUUCGUCAGAAAUUGAUAAUGGUUGGAAAGUGGUCAGAAAUUUUUGACUAUACUAAUGGUUAGAAAUGUCGUCAUAAACUAUCGUCAUGAAAUGGUCAAAAAAUAAUCUUCCAGUUUCUGAUAAAUUUCUGACUACCUUUUUAAUAAUUGAUUUUGGAUAAUCAAGUUGGGAUCUCUUUGUGACGCUAAAUAUUGAAACAGAAAGCAUGGAUCUAACCUUGCAAGGAGUAGAGGAACUAUGGCUGGAGCAAGGCUGGGAUGGACAGUGACAACAGAAACACUGAAGCUUCUCAUACAUGACCUGUAAUGAAUGAAAAAAUAAGUUAUGAUGAUGGAAUAGCAGAGAAGAAAAUAAAAAAUGAAACUAGAUCGAGAAGGGGUGCGAAGGAGGUCUCUCAAAUUAGGAGAAAAGCAGUAAAACAAAAAAAAUGAAAAAGAUGCUCAACGGUGCCGC